UGCGUAGGCGGAUUAAUAAGUCAGUGGUGAAAACCUGCAGCUUAACUGUAGACUUGCCAUUGAUACUGUUAGUCUUGAGUACGGUCAAGGUAGGCGGAAUGUGUAAUGUAGCGGUGAAAUGCUUAGAUAUUACACAGAACACCGAUUGCGAAGGCAGCUUACUGGGCCAUUACUGACGCUGAGGCACGAAAGCGCGGGUAGCGAACAGGAUUAGAUACCCUGGUAGUCC
This 229-nucleotide ribosomal RNA is filed under the name uncultured bacterium. RNAcentral's name for it is "partial 16S ribosomal RNA". It matches the Rfam family "Bacterial small subunit ribosomal RNA", at positions 568 to 796 of the family's 1533-position model. The record is from RNAcentral.